AACGAACGCUGGCGGCAGGCCUAACACAUGCAAGUCGAACGCCGUAGCAAUACGGAGUGGCAGACGGGUGAGUAACACGUGGGAACGUACCCUUCGGUUCGGGAUAACUCAGGGAAACUUGAGCUAAUACCGGAUACGUCCGAGAGGAGAAAGAUUUAUUGCCGAGGGAUCGGCCCGCGUCUGAUUAGCUUGUUGGUGAGGUAACGGCUCACCAAGGCGACGAUCAGUAGCUGGUCGAGAGGAUGAUCAGCCACAUUGGGACUGAGACACGGCCCAAAACUCCUACGGGAGGCAGCAGUGGGGAAUAUUGGAC
RNAcentral lists this ribosomal RNA (313 nucleotides) under uncultured bacterium. RNAcentral's name for it is "bacterial SSU rRNA". It matches the Rfam family "Bacterial small subunit ribosomal RNA", at positions 29 to 369 of the family's 1533-position model. The record is from RNAcentral.